Long non-coding RNA from Platichthys flesus (European flounder), 3063 nucleotides. RefSeq lists it as uncharacterized. NCBI's taxonomy places the organism in Eukaryota, Metazoa, Chordata, Actinopteri, Pleuronectiformes, Pleuronectidae. The transcript has 3 exons. The record is from RefSeq and is a predicted model, not a curated record.
GACAGUUCACUGGUAGUUCAGGGACACGCUGACCAAAGUCCUCUGCACCCGCAUUUUAAAAAGCAGAUGGCAAACCCAGUUAAGUCAAAUGUGCCACAGGCAGCGGAGCUACAGCAGGUGGCAGGAAUGAGCACGAAGCAGACUCCUGCGACAUUCCUCACACCUCCCCGUCCAAGAGGCUCAGACACUGAUAAUGAGGUUACAGCAUUUCCAAGCGGCAGCAACAACCUCACGCCACAUCAGCAUGUUUUAGCCUGCUUAGCUGAAAGCGGGCUUAUCUGGGACCCUUUUCGGGCAAGGCAUGCCAGUGUGCUCGGCUGCUUCUAUUCCGAUCCAGAUGCAGCAGGAGCGACGGCCUCCCACGACCGACUCUCCACCACUUUGACAACCGAUACUCUGUUACGACCUGACAACUUGCUUCACACCCCUGCGCGGCAAAUGGCGCGGGAGGUUCAUGGUGGCCACGGCGUUCUCAGGUCAGCUCAAGGUCUUGAGAAAUUCACGUCGGAAAAAUAUUCACUUGACACACUGUCCCAAGCCAAGGCUAAAAAAACAAGAAGUAGUUAUUAUACUUAAAAGUUAGAGUUGACGUCAGUGGACAGAUGGAACAGAAAACGAUGAUGGAAAGAGGAUAUUAACUAUAAAUACACAUUAAUAGCACCAUAAUUAUACCCAUAAAACUACACAUGGUAGAAGAAGAAGAAGAUGUGUGUGAUAAAUAAGCCAUCAAACAAAGUAUUAACCUCAAGGCUGAGUGGGUGUUUGGGAAAAAAAGUUUUUAAAUAAAGUUUCAUUAGUUUUCAAGGAUUCUUGAUGUCGUUAUUUGGCUGCAGAGACAACCGUCCCUUUUCCUCCAGCCCCUCUUCUGGACUAGCGCCCUGUUCGGGGGCUCAUGACCUCUGGGCCAAGAGAACGUUAACCCAGACCCUGGCUUGAGUUGGCUGAGCUGGACGCUGCUGCCACCUCCUGACUAAACAUCUAACUUACAGAUUCAGAGCGUCAUCUCAUGCUGUUUUUCUUUCAUUCAACCACCACUGGUCUCAUGUCUGUGUCUGGUGACAGGAUGGUAACAUUUGAAUUGGAGUAUUGUUAGAUAUGAUAUCAUUAAGUCCUGGAGCUACACUCGUAGAUCUUACUGGAGAUUUGUUCUCAUUUCCCCCCACUGCUUAUUACCAGACAGUAACCCACAGCCAAAUGGGUGACAGCAGCACAUCUGAUGCUUAACCUUUGUGCUUGUGGCUGUGGGAAGAAGCCAAAGCACACACAUAAAACUCAGGCUUACACAGGCGUCUGGGAUCUGUUCGGAGACACUGGUUACACUGGGACAAGUAGGACUUUUCUAAAUCUGGGGCCAUAAGGGUCCAAUUAUAUGUCCAUUAAGUCAUUCCUUGUUUACUUAAAGCUCUUUGAUUUAAAGUAUAGAAUACAAUCAUAUUUCAUCUGUCAGUGACCGCUGGAUCUAUCCCUUCUAUUUGGGAGAACACUAGGUGGCACUUUUAUUAGCAGUUGCAAGAAUUAGGGCUCAUCAAUUUUACAUGUAUUAGAAAUGGUUAAAACGCUAAGAAAUACACAAAUAAAUAAAUAUUUGGAGAGGAGAUCGGGGUCAAACACAGGCCAUCGUGCUCCGACCUACUGUAAGUGAGAUGAUCAAUAACCAGAGUAAUUGUACUCCACCAGUAAGUUACUGCACACAGUAGACUCAUCAACAUACUUCCACAACAGAUAUAGAGGCUAGAUCUUUAUCAAUGGCCUCUUCUCUAGCAUCAACAUCACACAGGUUUGUGGUGCUGUGUUUCUAGUCAGCUGAGCAUCUCCAGUGAAAGCAGCUCUUGUUAAAGGUCAUUGAUGUCUUCUGGCCCAAGGUGACCUCUCAUUCAAACACUUUAUUGAUAUUUGCUGUAGGACUAGGGGCGAUUUUUGCAUGUAAUAACCAGUAGAAUUUAUAAAUUUGAUGUCAACACCAUCACUGAUGCAGCUUCUAAAAUAAACCGAUUCUCCGCAGAUGAAAACAGGCAAAUAUCUUGUUGUUAAAACAGAGAGGCUGAAAGGAUCCAGCAUCUUAUUGUAUCACAUCUCAUUAUAUGACUUAUUUGACCUCAUCUCAUCUAAUCAUAUCUUAUCUAUUCUCAUUUUACUGUAUCUAAUACGCGGCAGACCUUCCAAUCCACCAUGAACGGCUAUUUCAAGAAACAAAACGCUAAAGCUUUAGGAAUGACCCUCUCGGUGACCUCUGACCUGAACAUGAGAAUGCUUGCAGCUUCACAUUGACCCUGCUGACAUGGAUCAUAGCUUCAAGGCCAACAGCCUGUUUUCCGAUCACUACAACAAUCACACACAUCAUGUCAGACUUCACCAGGACGUCAGAGCCUCCUCUGUGCAGCCAGUUUGUGAAAGUGAAUGAAUCAAUAAUGAGCUGAAGUAGCUUGACGUCCAUAAACCACAAUGACAGUCAGCUGUCAGCGGCUGUGGCCCCGCCCCCAUGGAAUGGUCGCAUUACUCAAAGCAAACUUUGCGCAACACAACUUUCAGCUUCAGAUGCUUAAAUCACAUUUGCAUUACUUUGUAUUCCAUGUAAGACAGCUGCUUUCCACAGAUGGGGCCUACACCGGGGACAGUGCACCCAGAGCCGGGUCCGAACAGUGAGAAGAACCCGGGGGCUGCUGGUGGGACUGAAGGGGUCAUGUGAUCAGUGCCUGACGAAUCAGCGUCUAUGUCCAGAAACAAUUCAGCCCUCAAGUUUGUGGACUGUAAAGUCGUGUGGACACCAGGCGUAACUAGUCAGGAGAUGGUGUGCUCUCAAAUGAAAACGUAGUUGUCUUCCUCCUCUGUUAAUGGAGGAAGAUAUUUAGCAUCUUAGGUUGUCUUUAAUCAAAAACAGAGAAUUAGACAUCACUGAUGGAACAUGUGGCAUCUAAAUAUGAGACUAUGGUCAUAAGAGUGUUGAUGUAUUAUGCUGGAAAAGGCAUCAUUGUUUCAGUAGUCCUUGUUUUGGAGUUGUGCUAAGUAUUUUUUUUUGUGUACCUUGUGAUUGACUUGUACUUUAAUUAAACCAUUAACAUGAAA